CUGGGAACUAUUCCUAUAAGUGGAGGGAUUUCAAAGAGGCCUAGUGGCAUCUUGGGGCGGUGGCAGUCUGUCAUCUUUGUGGUAAUGGGUUCUUGGGUAUAUACUUCUAUAGAACUGAAGCAGGCAGUCCUGUGUACCCCGGGACACUGUGCAGAGCGUUUGCCCACCUCGUGGAGUGGUCUGGAGCUCAGAUGCAACAGUCCCUGCUCACAGAGACCCUUACCCCGGGGACCCCCGUGCGGACAGGCGGACACAUGCAUAAGCAGAUAAAUUAGGAAGGCAAGGUCACAAGCAAGCGGGGAGGGUAAUCCCUACACACUUGACUUGAUGUUUAAAGAUUUAGAGAUUAAAAGACAAUCUUGACCUUGACCUGUGUUCUCACCUAAAAAUGAGAAUAGCUUCCAUUACUGUUGAGCGGACCCUGUGGGGGGAGUGCUCCUCUGUCCAUCUAGCUUCUCAGUGCUUCUGUGAAAUUUUACUUCUGUUUUUCAGGUGGGGAAACUGAAGCACAGAGGAGCCAAGCAACUUGUUCAAGGUCACACAACCAGUAAGUGAUAGAGGCACAACCUGACCCAGGUGGACCAGCUACCAAGCCCCAUGCUUACCAACUAAGCUGAGCUGUUUCCUGGCGGGCGACAACGAUGAUGAAGACAGUGACAACUUUUGCACGGGGUUCUUGUGAGCAUCAAGUGCAUUAACACAUGUGACACGAGUGAAGCACUGAGAGAUACAGUCAGGAAGGAGACCAGUCCUGGUGCUCCGGGACCUCCCCGUCCCCGAGUGAGAGAGAGAGAGAGAGACUCCUCCACAAUCCAGAAGUGGCAGGACAGGGACCAGCAGAGGCAUUGGGAACCACCUGGCACCUGGACCUAAAUGCCAUUAGGAGCAGAACCCCUUUCCUGCACCUUCUCCUUGCAGACAGGUGGCUCUGGAAAGCAUACAUCUGCCUCUUCUUCGUGGCACCUCCUCCAGGGAGCCCUCAGGCCCAGUGCUUGCUCUGGGCUCCCCAGUGUGUCCUGUCAUGCCCAAGUGUCAGUCUAGCCCUAGACAGUUCAGGGUGAACGAAGGUCACGGCUCCCUGCAUGUAGUAGUUGCUCAACUAAAUGUUUACUGAAGGAACAAAUAAAUGAAUAAACAUCU
Molecule: long non-coding RNA, 1140 nt
Filed under: Marmota monax (woodchuck)
Lineage: Eukaryota; Metazoa; Chordata; Mammalia; Rodentia; Sciuridae
Source: RNAcentral